GCCAUCUCCCAAUUGUGGAUUCCCUGUAUUUGAGGCAGAGGAAGAUGAUGUUGAAAGGGAUUCCUGAUGAGAUUACCCGUCUUCUUGAGCACGAAAAGAAGCUCAUUCAGCUGUAUCAUGAGAAUCAGCAAAACAGUCAAACUGGGGCAUUACAAAUGUAAUAAAAAAAACAAGGAGAGGGGUGAAAAAAAAUAAAAGAAUAAAAUCAAAAUAAAAAAAAAGAAUAAGAGAAAAAAAGUAUACCCUCAAAUCCCUAGUUGAUUGAUGCUGAUUGAAUUCAG
Molecule: long non-coding RNA, 281 nt
Filed under: Lathyrus oleraceus (garden pea)
Lineage: Eukaryota; Viridiplantae; Streptophyta; Magnoliopsida; Fabales; Fabaceae
Description: Pisum sativum (pea) long non-coding RNA (PSAT_LNC017356)
Source: RNAcentral